Molecule: ribosomal RNA, 119 nt
Filed under: Pteropus alecto (black flying fox)
Lineage: Eukaryota; Metazoa; Chordata; Mammalia; Chiroptera; Pteropodidae
Also listed under: 1 other name
Source: RNAcentral
CUCUAUGGCCAUGCCACCCUGAACGAGUCUGAUCCCAUCUGAUCUCGGAAGCUAAGCAGGGUCGGGCCUGGUUAGUACUUGGAUGGGAGACCACCGAGGAAGACUAGGUGCUGCAGGCA